CACGGAUAACAUACCGAAAGGUAUGCUAAUACGAGAUAAUAUACUUUUAUCACAUGGUGGAAGUAUCAAAGCUUUUGCGGUACAGGAUGGACCCGCGUCUGAUUAGCUAGUUGGUAAGGUAACGGCUUACCAAGGCGACGAUCAGUAGCCGACCUGAGAGGGUGAUCGGCCACAUUGGAACUGAGACACGGUCCAAACUCCUACGGGGGGCAGCAGUGGGGAAUAUUGUAAAAUGGGCGAAAGCCUGAUGCAGCA
RNAcentral lists this ribosomal RNA (255 nucleotides) under uncultured bacterium. Its description in RNAcentral is "partial 16S ribosomal RNA". It matches the Rfam family "Bacterial small subunit ribosomal RNA", at positions 138 to 392 of the family's 1533-position model. The record is from RNAcentral.